AACCUGCGGAAUGAUCAUUG
Molecule: ribosomal RNA, 20 nt
Filed under: Cornus obliqua
Lineage: Eukaryota; Viridiplantae; Streptophyta; Magnoliopsida; Cornales; Cornaceae
Description: partial 18S ribosomal RNA
Source: RNAcentral